RNAcentral lists this ribosomal RNA (372 nucleotides) under uncultured cyanobacterium. Its description in RNAcentral is "bacterial SSU rRNA". It matches the Rfam family "Bacterial small subunit ribosomal RNA", at positions 377 to 763 of the family's 1533-position model. Lineage: Bacteria; Bacillati; Cyanobacteriota. The record is from RNAcentral.
GAAACCCUGACGUAGCGACACCGCGUGAACGAAGAAGCCCUUUGGGGUGUAAAGUUCUGUCGGCUGGAACGAAAAAAAUGACGGUACCAGCAAAGGAAGCAUCGGCUAACUACGUGCCAGCAGCCGCGGUAAGACGUAGGAUGCAAGCGUUGUCCGGAUUUAUUGGGCGUAAAGAGUUCGUAGGUGGUUUGUUAAGUUUGAUGUUAAAGAUCAAGGCUCAACCUUGGGAAAGCAUUGAAUACUGGCAGACUUGAGUAUGGUAGAGGCAAGCGGAAUUCCCAGUGUAGCGGUGAAAUGCGUAGAUAUUGGGAAGAACACCGGUGGCGCAAGCGGCUUGCUGGGCCAUAACUGACACUGAGGAACGAAAGCUAG